UUAUACAGUCUGUUUUUUGUGAAAUGUCGUGCUUGAAAAGUCUCCUUGGGGCUUCUUUCAUUCAUAUAAAUGCAGCUUGGUUUGACGUGUUGCUUUCUAAUGCAGUGAAAUUCAGACGUGUCAAAGUGGCUAAGUGUCCCAAUACUUUUGGUGCCCCUGUGUGUAGAUAUAAAAGUGUAUUAAAAAAAGACUAAAUAUAAAAAAAUUAAGUAAGUAAGUGUAUUGGUGUAUAAAUAAUUUUCCACAGCUGGUGUAAAGAUGAAUAAAGCGUUGUGUUAGUGAUCACAGUAACAGAUGAUAAUGAAGAUGAGAGAGAACCAGAUGAUGAUGAUGAUGAUGAUUCUUACUAUUAUUACUGAUUGUUAUUAUUGUUAUUGUUGUUAUUAUUAGUCAGAAAGAGCAGAACUGUACGAGGAACGUUUCAGCGCUUUAGCGCCGCCUGUGGCUGUGGAGAGUGAUGCAGCGGUGAUGUCAUAGUAAGCUGCGAGGCCAACCCUCGAAAGUCAGAAAUCGAAAGUCAGAAGUGCGCCGUUAGAAAGAGAGAAGAAAGCGGAGUGAAGAAGAUCUCGAGGUGAGUUUAUUGUGAACAGAAUUGAAUGUUGCAAGUUCCAGAGGACAGAGUGCAGAUGAACGCAGUGAAGUGUGUGUGAAGUGUGUGUGAAGUGAAUCCUCCAGGCUGGGUGGGGUCGCGGAGGCCCGUUAUAGCGCCUUCUAGCGCCUUCUUUUCCUCUCACAUCAUUUCCUCUGUUCUUCCUCUUCUACUGCACACACUAUUGUACACUGUAUUCAUCACCGCGGUGCUUUGAUCUGUUUACAGUUACAUUUCACAUUCUUUCACUACAGCGCUUCUUCUUUAAAGACAAAUUGCUUUGGUUUGAUGUGUUUCCUCAGUACACACGUGUGAGUAUGUGUACAGAUUGUAGUGCAGGUUCUCUACAGUGUAAAAGUGUUGUAGGGAUAAAGCUUUAGCACAGAACCCCACAUUUAUUCCAGCCGUCAUCAGGGAGUGGAGCUGAGACUGGAGCUCCAGGAAAACACUGUGGAGAGAAACUGACCGACAGCGCCAUCUGCUGGGUGGAACAGGAAGUUGCUCAGCUGCAUUUGGGAGAAAAUAUAAAUAAAUAAAUAUCCCGAGUCUAUCUAUCUAUCUAUCUAUCUAUCUAUCUAUCUAUCUAUCUAUCUAUCUGUGUGUGUGUGUGUGUGUGUAGUGUACACACAUACAUAUACAGUAUUAUAUGUACACUACACACACACACACAUACAGUAUUAUACGUACACUACACAUACAUACAAUAUUAUACGUACACUACACAAACACACACAUAUAUACAGUAGUAUAUGUACACUACACACACACAUAUACAGUAUUAUAUGUACACUACACACACACAUAUACAGUAUUAUACGUACACUACACACACACAUACACAGUAUUAUUUGUACACUACACACACACACAUAUACAGUAUUAUAUGUACACUACACACAAACAUAUACAGUAUUAUGUGUACACUACACACACAUAUACAUUAUUAUAUGUACACUACACACAUACAUUAUUAUAUGUACACCACACACACAUAUACAGUAUUAUAUGUACACUACACACACGCACACAUAUACAGUAUUAUAUGUACACUACACACACACAUAUACAGUAUUAUAUGUACACUACACACAUAUACUGUAUUAUAUGUACACUACACACACACACACACAUAUACAGUAUUAUACAUACACUACACACGCACACAUAUACAGUAUUAUAUGUACACUACACACACAUAUACAUUAUUAUAUGUACACCACACACACAUAUACAGUAUUAUAUGUACACUACACACACAUAUACAUUAUUAUAUGUACACUACACACACAUAUACAUUAUUAUAUGUACACUACACAUAUACAGUAUUAUAUGUACACUACACACACGCACACAUAUAUACAGUAUUAUAUGUACACUACACACACCAUAUACAGUAUUAUAUGUACACUACACACAUAUACUGUA
Long non-coding RNA from Ictalurus punctatus (channel catfish), 2014 nucleotides. Lineage: Eukaryota; Metazoa; Chordata; Actinopteri; Siluriformes; Ictaluridae. The record is from Ensembl.